GAUGAACGCUAGCUACAGGCUUAACACAUGCAAGUCGAGGGGCAGCAUGGUCUUAGCUUGCUAAGGCCGAUGGCGACCGGCGCACGGGUGAGUAACACGUAUCCAACCUGCCGUCUACUCUUGGACAGCCUUCUGAAAGGAAGAUUAAUACCCGAUGGCAUAGUUCUUCCGCAUGGUAGAACUAUUAAAGAAUUUCGGUCAUCGAUGGGGAUGCGUUCCAUUAGCUUGUUGGCGGGGUAACGGCCCACCAAGGCAUCGAUGGAUAGGGGUUCUGAGAGGAAGGUCCCCCACAUUGGAACUGAGACACGGUCCAA
RNAcentral lists this ribosomal RNA (314 nucleotides) under uncultured bacterium. RNAcentral describes it as "bacterial SSU rRNA". It matches the Rfam family "Bacterial small subunit ribosomal RNA", at positions 28 to 334 of the family's 1533-position model. The record is from RNAcentral.